Molecule: ribosomal RNA, 383 nt
Filed under: uncultured bacterium
Lineage: Bacteria
Description: bacterial SSU rRNA
Rfam family: Bacterial small subunit ribosomal RNA
Source: RNAcentral
AUUGAACGCUGGCGGAAUGCUUUACACAUGCAAGUCGAACGGUAGAGGGGGGCAACCCCCUUGAGAGUGGCGAACGGGUGAGUAAUAUAUCGGAACGUGCCCGGUCGUGGGGAUAACGUAGCGAAAGCUACGCUAAUACCGCAUACGAUCUACGGAUGAAAGCGGGGGGAUCGCAAGACCUCGCGCGAUUGGAGCGGCCGAUAUCAGAUUAGGUAGUUGGUGAGGUAAAGGCUCACCAAGCCGACGAUCUGUAGCUGGUCUGAGAGGACGACCAGCCACACUGGGACUGAGACACGGCCCAGACUCCUACGGAGGCAGCAGUGGGGAAUUUUGGACAAUGGGCGCAAGCCUGAUCCAGCAAUGCCGCGUGCAGGAUGAAGGCC